RNAcentral lists this ribosomal RNA (431 nucleotides) under uncultured bacterium. RNAcentral's name for it is "bacterial SSU rRNA". It matches the Rfam family "Bacterial small subunit ribosomal RNA", at positions 355 to 796 of the family's 1533-position model. The record is from RNAcentral.
UCGAGGAUCUUCGGCAAUGGGCGCAAGCCUGACCGAGCGACGCCGCGUGCGCGAUGAAGGCCUUCGGGUUGUAAAGCGCUGUCGAGGGGGAGGAAGCCGAAAGGUUGACCUAUCCCUGGAGGAAGCACGGGCUAAGUUCGUGCCAGCAGCCGCGGUAAGACGAACCGUGCGAACGUUGUUCGGAUUCACUGGGCUUAAAGGGCGCGUAGGCGGGUUACCAAGUCAGGGGUGAAAUCUUUCGGCUCAACCGGAAAAGUGCCCCUGAUACUGGUAGUCUUGAGGGAGGUAGGGGCAUGUGGAACUUCCGGUGGAGCGGUGAAAUGCGUAGAUAUCGGAAGGAACGCCGGUGGCGAAAGCGACGUGCUGGUCCUCUUCUGACGCUGAGGCGCGAAAGCCAGGGGAGCGAACGGGAUUAGAUACCCCCGUAGUCC